UACGUAGGGUGCGAGCGUUAAUCGGAAUUACUGGGCGUAAAGCGUGCGCAGGCGGCUUUGCAAGACAGAUGUGAAAUCCCCGGGCUCAACCUGGGAAUUGCGCUUGUGACUGCAAAGCUGGAGUGCGGCAGAGGGGGAUGGAAUUCCGCGUGUAGCGGUGAAAUGCGUAGAUAUGCGGAGGAACACCGGUGGCGAAGGCAGUCCCCUGGGCCUGCACUGACGCUCAUGCACGAAAGCGUGGGGAGCAAACAGG
This 253-nucleotide ribosomal RNA is filed under the name uncultured bacterium. RNAcentral's name for it is "partial 16S ribosomal RNA". It matches the Rfam family "Bacterial small subunit ribosomal RNA", at positions 524 to 776 of the family's 1533-position model. The record is from RNAcentral.